AGAGUUUGAUUCUGGCUCAGAUUGAACGCUGGCGGCGUGCUUAACACAUGCAAGUCGAACGUGAAAGUCCUUCGGGACGAGUAAAGUGGCGCACGGGUGAGUAACGCGUGGAUAAUCUACCCUUAAGAUGGGGAUAACGGCUGGAAACGGUCGCUAAUACCGAAUACGCUCCCGAUUUUAUCGUUGGGGGGAAAGAUGGCCUCUGCUUGCAAGCUAUCGCUUAAGGAUGAGUCCGCGUCCCAUUAGCCAGUUGGCGGGGUAACGGCCCACCAAGGCGACGAUGGGUAGCCGGUCUGAGAGGAUGACCGGCCACACUGGAACUGGAACACGGUCCAGACUCCUACGGGAGGCAGCAGUGGGGAAUAUUGCGCAAUGGGCGAAAGCCUGACGCAGCGACGCCGCGUGAGGGAUGAAGGUUCUCGGAUCGUAAACCUCUGUCAGGGGGGAAGAAACCCCCUCGUGUGAAUAAUGCGAGGGCUUGACGGUACCCCCAAAGGAAGCACCGGCUAACUCCGUGCCAGCAGCCGCGGUAAUACGGAGGGUGCAAGCGUUAAUCGGAAUCACUGGGCGUAAAGCGCACGUAGGCGGCUUGGUAAGUCAGGGGUGAAAUCCCACAGCCCAACUGUGGAACUGCCUUUGAUACUGCCAGGCUUGAGUACCGGAGAGGGUGGCGGAAUUCCAGGUGUAGGAGUGAAAUCCGUAGAUAUCUGGAGGAACACCGGUGGCGAAGGCGGCCACCUGGACGGUAACUGACGCUGAGGUGCGAAAGCGUGGGUAGCAAACAGGAUUAGAUACCCUGGUAGUCCACGCUGUAAACGAUGGGUGCUGGGUGCUGGGAUGUAUGUCUCGGUGCCGUAGCUAACGCGAUAAGCACCCCGCCUGGGGAGUACGGUCGCAAGGCUGAAACUCAAAGAAAUUGACGGGGGCCCGCACAAGCGGUGGAGUAUGUGGUUUAAUUCGAUGCAACGCGAAGAACCUUACCCAGGCUUGACAUCUAGGGAACCCUUCGGAAAUGAAGGGGUGCCCUU
RNAcentral lists this ribosomal RNA (1028 nucleotides) under human gut metagenome. RNAcentral describes it as "bacterial SSU rRNA". It matches the Rfam family "Bacterial small subunit ribosomal RNA", at positions 8 to 1021 of the family's 1533-position model. The record is from RNAcentral.